GCGCAAGUGGUGGAAUUGGUAUACACGCAGGAUUUAGGUUCCUGUGCUUCACGGCGUGCGGGUUCGAGUCCCGUCUUGCGCA
RNAcentral lists this transfer RNA (82 nucleotides) under Cellulomonadaceae bacterium. RNAcentral's name for it is "tRNA-Leu". It matches the Rfam family "tRNA". Rfam says of the family: Transfer RNA (tRNA) molecules are approximately 80 nucleotides in length. Their secondary structure includes four short double-helical elements and three loops (D, anti-codon, and T loops). Further hydrogen bonds mediate the characteristic L-shaped molecular structure. tRNAs have two regions of fundamental functional importance: the anti-codon, which is responsible for specific mRNA codon recognition, and the 3' end, to which the tRNAs corresponding amino acid is attached (by aminoacyl-tRNA synthetases). tRNAs cope with the degeneracy of the genetic code in two manners: having more than one tRNA (with a specific anti-codon) for a particular amino acid; and 'wobble' base-pairing, i.e. permitting non-standard base-pairing at the 3rd anti-codon position. The record is from RNAcentral. Lineage: Bacteria; Bacillati; Actinomycetota; Actinomycetes; Micrococcales; Cellulomonadaceae.